RNAcentral lists this ribosomal RNA (254 nucleotides) under uncultured bacterium. RNAcentral's name for it is "partial 16S ribosomal RNA". It matches the Rfam family "Bacterial small subunit ribosomal RNA", at positions 524 to 776 of the family's 1533-position model. The record is from RNAcentral.
UACGGGGGGGGCAAGCGUUGUUCGGAAUUACUGGGCGUAAAGGGCUCGUAGGUGGCCAACUAAGUCAGAUGUGAAAUCCCUCGGCUUAACCGGGGAACUGCGUCUGAUACUGGAUGGCUUGAGUGUGGGAGAGGGAUGCGGAAUUCCAGGUGUAGCGGUGAAAUGCGUAGAUAUCUGGAGGAACACCGGUGGCGAAGGCGGCAUCCUGGACCACGACUGACGCUGAGUGAGCGAAAGCCAGGGGAGCAAACGGG